CUGUUCCUACGGGGGGCAGCAGUGGGGAAUAUUGGGCAAUGGGCGCAAGCCUGACCCAGCAACGCCGCGUGAAGGAAGAAGGCUUUCGGGUUGUAAACUUCUUUUAUUGAGGACGAAACAAAUGACGGUACUCAAUGAAUAAGCCACGGCUAACUACGUGCCAGCAGCCGCGGUAAUACGUAGGUGGCAAGCGUUAUCCGGAUUUACUGGGUGUAAAGGGCGUGUAGGCGGGACUGCAAGUCAGAUGUGAAAAUUAUGGGCUCAACCCAUAACCUGCAUUUGAAACUGUAGUUCUUGAGUGAUGG
Molecule: ribosomal RNA, 305 nt
Filed under: uncultured bacterium
Lineage: Bacteria
Description: bacterial SSU rRNA
Rfam family: Bacterial small subunit ribosomal RNA
Source: RNAcentral